CCUCUACUGAUUUCAUUUCUUAGCAUAAAUAUAAAGUGAAUACUUUACCUUGGGAGUAUCGAUCACAGGAUGCAAGGAUUUCAGACAAGUAUCUGGAGCUGCAGGUAAAAGUUAGUUCCUAGUUUCUCUCUCUCUAAAUUUCUCUCUUGAGUCAAAGUCUGCUUCCAUUGCAGGAUCAGUGACCAAGAUUGGACAUGCUUCCAUGAAUCAAAACUUAAUGGUGGUUGCCACCAAGUUCUGUUCACUUCUUUUUGACCUAUAUCCAAGAGUUCUUUGCGAAAGCGAGCCUUGAAGAUUGCCGCCUCCAUGUCCCGUUUCGAACUCUUUUAUUUGAGUCUUUAUGAAUCAAGCCUUAAUGGUUUUAGCCACCAAGUCCUGUUCAGACUCAUCCUAAUUAAACAAUAGAUCUUACUUUUUUUUUUUUUUUUUUUAGAUAAAUUUUUUUUUUUUAUAUAUAUAUAUUUUUUAAAUACUCUAUAACUAAUCUAGGGUCGAAAUCUAGAGAGAGAAAAUGUGAUAAAUAAUUUAAACCAGGCGUUACCUUCCAGACCUAUCUGAAGAAUCCAAUCCCAAGUAUACCAAGCCCCAAGACAAGCGGUUAUGUCAGGUUUAGUGUUGGAAAUCAGCUUUGGUUACUUCAUACGGUUCAAGGCAAGUGUGUAGUUGAUAGGUUGAUCUGCUUUAGCAUCUUUAGUGCUAUCUGCAAUCAGUAAAUCUAAAAUGGUGCUAAAGAUUAGUUAGAUAUCAUUAUAAGAUUAUAGUCCCUAUUUUCGAUAGCUAAGCAUAAUUUAUUUGAAAUUCCUUUUUACGUAAGAAUAAAAUAAAUUAUAUCAGUAAAUCUCCCCCCAGACUUAAAUUACACUGUCCCAGUGUAACUCAGCCGGAGUUAUGAUGAAAAGUGUAUGAUGUACGAAAUGUAAC
RNAcentral lists this long non-coding RNA (921 nucleotides) under Brassica rapa (field mustard). Its description in RNAcentral is "long non-coding RNA (BRAP_LNC007592)". Lineage: Eukaryota; Viridiplantae; Streptophyta; Magnoliopsida; Brassicales; Brassicaceae. The record is from RNAcentral.